UGCCAGCAGCCGCGGUAAUACGGGAAUGGCAAGCGUUAUCCGGAAUUACUGGGCGUAAAGCGCACGUAGGCGGAUCAGAAAGUUAGGGGUGAAAUCCCAGGGCUCAACCCGGGAACUGCCUCUAAAACUCCUGGUCUAGAGUUCGAGAGAGGUGAGUGGAAUUCCGAGUGUAGAGGUGAAAUUCGUAGAUAUUCGGAGGAACACCAGUGGCGAAGGCGGCUCACUGGCUCGAUACUGACGCUGAGGUGCGAAAGUGUGGGGAGCAAACAGGAUUAGAUA
This 279-nucleotide ribosomal RNA is filed under the name uncultured bacterium. Its description in RNAcentral is "partial 16S ribosomal RNA". It matches the Rfam family "Bacterial small subunit ribosomal RNA", at positions 506 to 784 of the family's 1533-position model. The record is from RNAcentral.